Molecule: long non-coding RNA, 1129 nt
Organism: Lotus japonicus
Lineage: Eukaryota; Viridiplantae; Streptophyta; Magnoliopsida; Fabales; Fabaceae
Exons: 2
Source: RefSeq, a predicted model, not a curated record
CUUUAGUUAUUUUUUUUAUCCUAGGGGGACACAUGAUAGAAACGGACCGGAUAGGAUAAGAAAAAAAGUUACGUUCUUCUCCUUACUCUUCGGGAGUUGGGUUUGGCACCCCACCUAUGGGGCUUGGCACCCCACUUUAUCAAAUACGGAAUUUAAAGUUCCGUAUUCUCCAUAUUGAAUACGGAACUUAAAAUUCCGUACUGUAUUUAAGCAUGCGUGUCACAUUUUCAACCACUCAUUAUAUACUAAAACAGAUACGAAAUUUUAUUUUCCGUAUUGAUACGGAAAUUUAAAUUCCGUAUCUAUUUUAGUGGGGUGCAAAGCCUAAGGGGUGGGGCUCCAAACCCAACUCCCUUACUCUUCACGCGUUUCAUUUGUCUUCUCUUCUGCAAGCCCUACUCUUCUCCUCCUUCGUUCUUCUACUUCCAGUGCUACCGGCCGCCACUCUCGCUGCUGCCGCCCGCCGCUGCCGCCGCACGCACCUGUUGCAGAAAUGUGUCUUGAUAACAGGGGUAAAUGUGUCUUGUGGAAAGUCAAUCAAGGAAAAAAAACAGAGGAGCAAAUCUGAUUGCUAAUAGUAUAUCUGAAUUAGGAAAUACUCUUGGGAAAUGGCUUGAAUUGAGUGCUGAAAGAUUGGCUGAGGCUAGUAAUAGCCUCAAAGUUGAUAAAGACAUGUUUGAUGAUUCCAGGGGCGUCAUGGAUGAGCUGUUGAAAAUGGGUUUAACGGAUCAAGAGCGUUAUGUAGCUAGAGAUAAGAUAAUGUCUAUGCCUCAUCGUGUGCACAUGUUUUGGGCUUGUCAUGGAGAGGACCGUCUCAAGUUUGUGAAGUCAUUGAUAUAAUUGCUUUGAGUAAUUGCUUUGGAGAAUGACAUAUUGUUGGACGAUGUUUAUGCUAUUUUGCUUUGUUUAUGUUGGCUUCUCUACUACAUUCGGAUAGUUCACCAUUUUGUUGGAUGUUUAUGUUAUUUGGCUUUGUUAUGCUAUUUCUAGGGUGGAGAUGACAUUGCUCCUCUAUUACAUUCGGAUAGUACACCAUUUUGUUGGACGGUGUUUAUGCUAUGUUACUUUAUUUUGAUGGAGGAUGUUUAUGAUGUUUAUGUUAUUUAUAAAAAGCACAUGAUUCAACUUA